CCCGAAAAAGAACCCGUCCCACAAGCAUGUGCGAUCUAAUGGGUCGGCCCACUAGAAGCGGCGUUACAGGCGAUCGGCCGCUUAUUGCUCGCAAGCGACCUAUAGCAUUUCUCGUUUUUUUUUGAACAAGAGAAGGUCCCGAAGGACCCAAACACUGCAUUAAACACAAGCCCGGAUUACAGAGCAGUUUACAUCAAGACACCACAGAAACAUGAUAUUGCAUACAAGUCCCUGUCUUUUACGAAGAGGACCCCAAACUAAAAGAUGGAAAAGCAAUCGGGUCCUUCGUUGCGUUCCCAUGGAUUGAGCUACGCCAUCGCCGGGGACGUGCCACUUGGGACGGCGGAACCGCCAUAGCCGCCGCAGGUCACCAUGGCCUCCAAACGAACACAGCAGCUGCCUCCUAUAUGGCAUCAAGGCCAGGAGGAAUAAUGAUGGCCACCUUUCGGCCUGAAGAAGCAGCAGUUCGCCUGCGGAGACCGGCGUCGUAGCUCCACUGGAUUGAAGCUGUUGCUGAUGUGCUCGAAUCCCUGCAAGAACCAUCUGACUGCCUCUCCUCAGCUCCUUCUCCACCUCCAUGGUGGCAUCCGGCUCCAAGAAGAGAAAGAGAAGCCUCUUCCAGAGGCAGGGACACCUUGAGCUUAUUACCGGAGAUGCUGGAUUGACGCCAGCUAGCAGCAGCAACAACCAACUCACCACCACCAUCAAGGUCAACUCCAGCAGCCACCGCACGCGGCUCGGGCGCGCCAGCGACACGGCCUCCAUCGGCAUAAAGCCAAACUCCGGCAUCUCGCCAAACUCCACUAAGGAAACAACUAAACUAGACCUACUACUUAUAGUAGAGCUCCGAGCACCUUCCCCAUCUCUUCCCCAACCGGCAGCACCGGCGGCGGAGAUCCGGAGUCGGGCCCGACUCUUCUUUCCCUUUCUCCUCUGUUCGAGAGGAGUGAAAAGGGAGGCGACCGGAGGACUCGAGAUCUCGGG
RNAcentral lists this ribosomal RNA (984 nucleotides) under Triticum aestivum (bread wheat). RNAcentral's name for it is "partial small subunit ribosomal RNA". The record is from RNAcentral. Lineage: Eukaryota; Viridiplantae; Streptophyta; Magnoliopsida; Poales; Poaceae.